RNAcentral lists this signal recognition particle RNA (99 nucleotides) under Lachnospiraceae bacterium. Its description in RNAcentral is "signal recognition particle sRNA small type". It matches the Rfam family "Bacterial small signal recognition particle RNA". From Rfam's summary of the family: The signal recognition particle (SRP) is a universally conserved ribonucleoprotein involved in the co-translational targeting of proteins to membranes. Lineage: Bacteria; Bacillati; Bacillota; Clostridia; Lachnospirales; Lachnospiraceae. The record is from RNAcentral.
CGCAGGGUCUCGCGCAAUGGCUGCCCGCGAACCGUGUCAGGUCGGGAACGAAGCAGCACUAAGCGGUGUCACCAUGUGAUGCGAACAAGCCUUGCGGCA